RNAcentral lists this long non-coding RNA (14451 nucleotides) under Gallus gallus (chicken). The record is from RNAcentral. Lineage: Eukaryota; Metazoa; Chordata; Aves; Galliformes; Phasianidae.
AAAAAGACCAAAGUAAGGCAGAAACGAAACAAACCAAACCGGAUCCGCACGCUGCGGAGCGGCGGGCGCCGCGCGUUGCUCGGCCCGGCGGAACACAUCCAACCGGUCGGGCCGCGCCGGGCGCACUUACUUGUCCGUCUCUUGUGACAUGUUUGCUCCAAUGAACUCGCUCCCCUUUCCCGGCGCUCGGUCUCCCCGGUGGAACUGGACUUUCAGGUCUGUGCAGGUGAAGGUGCGCGCGAACGCCCGGCGCGGCAGAACCAGAGCUACAGGUAAUUCUGCUUGCCGUGCCCCCCUGGCCCCGCUCCGCCGCCGGGGCAGCGCAGCGCCGCGCAGGUACGGCCCCAGCCCCCUCCCCCUCGCAUGUGGGGAGCGGCGCGGAGAGCGGCCGGGCCGGGCGCGCGCAGGUAACUUUCCGAGCGGCGUCGGAUUCUUUCACUAAAGGAGCGGGGCAGAGGGCCGAGCCGCGCGCUGAUUGGGCGGGGCGGGCGGCAGGUGCGCUGCCAUUGGAAGAGGCGCGCAGGUACGGCGCCGCCGAGCUCCAGGUAACGCGCCGCGCCGCGUCGGGAGGCACCGCGGGGCCGCCGCCGAGCGAAGGGAGAGAGCGAGGGGGGGGCCGGCGCCGCGCUGGCGCUCAGGUGGCGGCCCCCCGGCAGGCGGCACGGCCGAGGCCGAGGGGAGGCCUCGCGGGCGGCCGGGCGUGACGGGGCGGCGGGACGCGGGCAGGUGGCGGCCGCUCGGUGGCUGCCGACGGGCGGCCCCGCGGGGGCUGCGGCCUUCGGGGAGCAGUUGGCGGCCGGGCUCCUCGUGGGACGCGGGGUUUGGGGUUGGUUCGGAGGGGUUUGGUUGCUGUUUGGCUUUUUCCGACGGUUCCGUCUCGGCCGGGAGCGGCUGGGCUUGGCGGUGCCGCUCCCGUUGCUGCGCGGUCUGAGCGCGGGCGGUCGAGUCGCGGCUGCCGGCGGCGGCUGCCCCGGCGCCCUCACAGCGCUCCUCACAGCGCGGAGCUGCGUCACGCGGCGGAGGGGCCCUCAGCCCGCUGCACCCCCGGGCGCUGCGCCAGCGCCUCAGUGCCGUCCGGAAGGACGGGAUGGAGCUCUGGGGGCAGCAGCUGUCAUCCGAUGGUGGGGAAGGUGUAGGAAAAGGGCUCCUCAGGUCAACUCGGAAGCCGGAGAAGAAAGGAAAACGCCUGCGCUCGGUCCGCGUUCCCCCGGCGGAGCGGGUCGGCACCUCGCCGCUCCUCGCUGCUGCCACAUGUACAGCUCCUCACCUCGAGACGUCUUCCCGGGCGUCUGGCUUCGCCUCUGCCUCACAGACAGCGCUGCGUGUGGCGUAAAUAGGCCGUUGUAUUGCACGGUGACCUUUGCAGGAAAGUUAAGUUAGCUGAAGGCAUUUAUACGGUCCCGGGAGAAGGAUUCUUCUACCUUUGAUUUCGGCUGAUGAGGACAUGGCAGAAAGGUGUUCACAAAAAUAAGCAUCCGUAUAACCAAGCGUGAGGGCUGCUCCAAAAGUAAUGCCUCCUGUUUUUGAUUCUGUGAUUCUGUUUUGUUUUGUUGGCCCACAGCAUCCGAGGUGGAUGUUGUUGGUAUGGCAGUGGAGGCUGAACCUUCCCACCAACAUCAGUUACGUGAUGUUGCCGUGUGACGGAUGGCAGCAGAGGGGCAGUCUGACAAAGUGGCAUCCGACAUGGGAGUCCAUAUGAAGCAAAGGUGUGGAAUUAAAUUCCUCCAUGCGGAAAAAAUGGCACCCGCUGACAUUCAUUGAUGCUUGCUGAACAUUUAUGGAGGCAAUCAAUGGAUGUAAGCACAGGGAGGCGGUGGGUGGGUGCAACAGAUGUAAGCCACAUUCUGGAUGUCCAUGCACAGCUGUACACCACAAAGUGAAGAGAGUCUCAACCAGCUCACCUACGUGAAUCAGCUGAUGGUGAUAGCUGUGUUGAAAAAUAGUGUUUUGUAGCUGAAUUUUGCUCUAUCAUAACACAAAUUGUGUUAUCAUUCUCUGUUGUAGUUUCCAUGGAAAUAAAUAGGAAGCAUUACCUUCAGAGCAACCUCUGAAUGUAUGUGUAUGUGGCUGUAACCGCAUAGAAUUGCAAUCCUCUUUCAGUGCAGUGGAAAUCAAGGUUGGUGCGUGGAAGUCUUUGAUAUUACUGGAUCACAGUCAGGCACAAAUGAUUGUUACUAUCUCUCAGCCCUUACCUAUAUUCAUAGUAACUAACCAGAUAGAGCCAAAUCAAUAUAGCUCUGUUUUAAGUCAGCUCAAGUGUAGUCCCAAGAAGAUCACAGAAUCACAGAAUGUCAGGGAUUGGAAGGGACCUCAAAAGAUCAUGUAGUCCAGUCCCUCUGCCGGAUCCCCCGUUAUGUUUUUAGAAUUAGAAAUUUAGUUUAGCUAGGUUAAUGACACUUGGACUGAGCACAGAGUAUUACGUAGCCUUCCUUUGUUUUCAGUCGCAGGAAAGAAGAAUCAUUAUGCAAUCAGUAAAUCCCAUCGAAAGCUGCUGAUGUGGCCUGAAUUGUGGAUAGCAAAUACUGGUAUUGAACUUCUCAGUCUGUAGGCCGUUAUGAAUAACAAUGCCUGGAUAAGUCAGUCUGUAGAACACAUUUUGAGGAAGCAAUAAGACUUUGUAAAACAAAGAAGAGAAGCUGAGUAAUUUAUUCACUACAAAUACUUCAGUUGUUUUGUAUAAAAAAUUACUAUGUCAUCUUGAGACAAGUAGAGCCUCCCAGGCACACUACUGUGAGAUGUUGUGAGCUGUUCUGGAGGAAUAAUGGGAAUCCUAUCACGGUUUAAGUUAAUGAAACCUUACUGCUAACUGCAGAAAUGAUAAGAUUUCAUUCACAAAUAUUGAUAUUAUGUUGAAAGAAGCUUUUGAGACCUGAAAAGGCUACCUAAUUGAGUGCUGUAAAUAGGAUUAACCUCAAUUCAGGUAUCCUCUUUCCCUUUUUACUUUUUUCAGAUUAUGGGGAACAUUUGGAUGUGUGGCUUUCACUUUUUUUUUUCCCUCCCUUCUCUAUGAAAUGUAUAGGAGGAAGGAAAGGAAGAUGAACGUUUUUGAAAAUGCCACCUUCCCCAAGUUAGCAAUGCUGCUCAUGUAUGAUUUUGCAGGGAAGAAAACAGCAUCUGAUGCCAUCUGCAGUCCUGGACCAAGCCCAAACUGUAACUCAGACUGAAAUGGAAUUUGUUGUUCUAGUACUGGGUCAGCUACAAAACCGCCUUUAGCAGCCUGCUCUCGGGAGAGAUUGCUUCCAGUGAAGCAGCUGGGAGACUGAAUUACUGCUCGGUGGCUGCAGAAGUGUUCAAGGUCAAAGUUAAGAACAGAAGUGAGAAAUGCGGUAAUGAACUCUUGAUUUGAGUUUGUUGAAGAUGACAGCUUAUUGCUUAGGUGAACAAAUAUACCCUGAAAAUUAUUUUAAGCAGAUAGUAGGGAUUGGGCUCAUCGUUUUCUGGAUGAGCAUUUUGUUCCAGGCUGCAAACUGGAAUUCAAUUGUGAGCGUCCAGCCUAGCAGGUCAAACAGGUCCUGCCUCAUCCAGCCCGCUGCUCAUUCUUCAUGAGCUCCAGGAUUGUUAUAAACUAAUCUGUUAGUCACUGAAAAAAUCAUCUAAUGUUAUUUCAGGCCAGACCAGUCUUGCUUCUCAUUGAAUAAAGGCUGUGUAGGGCAAAAAUAAAAUGGUCAUGCAAUACAUUAUUAUAAAUCUAGGAGUUGUCUUUGGAGCUUACAGGAACAAUCUACAAUAGCAGAUCACUUUCGUGCUGUUUGCUUCUUUGCAAACCAGCUUCUCAACCUGGUAGGGUGUUUCUUUUUCUUGCUUGUUGUUGUAAGGAGUCAGUGUAGAAUUCAACUGUCUAACGCUUUACCUUGUGUUUACAUGAUGUGUUCCAUAGCAGCCAGCAUCAGCGCUGUUUGGACUUGCCAGCACUGGGCAGAGGAAGUAGGGUGCACAAACAAGGUUCAGCUCAGCUUACUAAUUGCAGUAAGUACCUAAAAUAUCUUUCAGAAAACUAUUAAAAGAAGUCUGUGCGAUAAAAGAUGUUAGAGAGGUAUUUAUGUCAAAACAGCGUUGUGAGGCAGCUCAGUGAGAGCACAGAUGUUUGGAAACAAGUGUUUGCAGUAGGCAGUGAUUACCACGUAUUUUUAUUUGUGUGUUUCUGUGUCAUUGAUGGCUGUUGAUAUAAAAUGCUCUCUUGCAGUAAGUUCAAAGCCAACCACCUACCUACUAAUUUUGUGAUGCAUUUACUGUUAAUCCUCCCCAUAGCCUUCCCUUUGUAGUUAUCUUCUAUAUGAAACUAUAUUUACUGGAAUUUGUACAGACCUUGAUCUUCAACUGACUUCAACGACGCCGUCACGUACAUCAAAAUAAAUAGAUCUUAGUGCAGCUCUCCUAUACUCCAAAUGGAUCGUUUGUGUGUUCUAAUAAUAGAUUAUGCUACACUAUUAACAUGUAAGGUAAAGAAAGUAAUCCUAAGUAACCAAGAUUGUAACAACGGGUUACUUGUAUUGUUUCACAAUGAAACAAUAUGAAAGUGCUAUCAGAAUGCUGUGACUAGUGACAAGUAUCUGCUGCCUGGAACCUGCCAGUUGCGCUUCCCAGAUAGCGCAGCUGGGAUCUCAGUAAGAACCUGGAGCUCUCCGAUGCCUCCACAUCAUGCGUGGCAACAGCAGCUGAACAGCACAGAGGACCAUGGAAUAUGAGGCUCUGGGCAGCCUGGUCUAGUGGUUGGCGACCUUGCCGUGGCAGGGGGGGUUGAAACUAGCUAAUCUUUGAGGUCCUUUUCAACCCAGGCCAUUCUGUGAUUCUGUGAUGGAGUGCUUCCCGGCCCCAGGGCAGGGCAUGGGGCUGCAUGUGCCACCUUUAUCUGAAAUGCUGAUCUGCAUGUCUUAUAGAGUCCUCAGAGCAACUGGAACCAUGUAAGAAGAAAAGGAGGGGCUUUGUUUGCUCAUUAUGAGCGUAGAGUUCAUGAUUCUGAAAGAUGUCAGCGUUACAAUGUAAACAUAUCUGCAACACUUGUCUUAGGCAGUAUGGCACGCAGAACCCUGUUUCAGCUUAGAACAGAAAUCAUUUUUAGUGGUGAAAAUGGGUCAGAGUGUGGCAGUCCUCUCUGGGCUGGGACAUGGAGACGUCUGAGGAAGCAUCCUAAGUCUGACAGUAGAUUGGAAUAUUAGCUUCUUGAUUAGUAGUACCCAUCCAUUUCAUAAAGAUUACUCAUUGCUUUGAAACCAAUUCAACAGAAUGUAAUACGCAGGGAUAACUUUUCUGCAGAUGCUUUGAUCUCUGAUAGCAUUUUCCAGUGAUUCAGCCAAGCGUUUUGGGACAAGGGGAAACUAUGGUUAGGUCACCUAAUGGCUGACCUAAUGGCAGGAGAAACUCUGCCUGAAGAAGAAUAAGAAAACAUCUCUGGAAGACAGCUUGAUGUGCUGUGGGACCUGGGACUCGGAAAUACCUUAAUUAGGCUGAAACUGAUACUGUGUCAUGGUGGGGUAGAGGAGUGGGACCUAAAUAACCUGACCUCUGAGAAGAAUAUCCAGUGCAUCGUUAGGAUGCUUUGUCUGACUUCUUGUGGUACUCAGCAGAACCUCUGCAUCAUCACAGAACAAAUCUGCGGCUUCACAGGCACAUCUUGAGUAAUCCUGACUGAGUUGUUUGGGGAGAAAGCUGAAAUGCUUGUAGUUUGUCCACGUUGUGAAGAGCUCCUGAGGAAUGUCGGAAGAAAACUGUCCUAAUGGCUGUCUGUUGUGGGGUUGGUUUUGUUUUUUGGUUGGUUGUCAGCAGUAGUACUUUGAAAACCAUCUUUCUUUUCAUAAAUAAAAGCUUCUUUUUCUGUUUUUCAGUGACCCAGUUGAACAAACAAUUGGAUGGAUGGCUGCUCCUAGCUGAAGGGCUCUCACAGGGGAGCAGGAAUGGCACUCUGCAUUGGCUGCUGGGGCUUCUGCUCCCAGCCCUCAUCGGUCCGUUCUUGAAUCAUUAUGAUUUGCAGAGCAUCAUUUGAAAGGAAUCUGAAAUAGGUUUUCACACGUUGAUCACAUCCCCGAGAGCUUCGUAUGUCUCUGCAUCAGUUGGGUGUUUUUAAAAAACACAGAAGCUCCACAGGUCUGUCACCCCACCCUGCAAUAAGAGCAGUCGAAAGCCAAUGAAGAGUGCAUCUCUUCUUGCUGUAACGGUACUGUCCUAAAAUAGGCCUUGGUGUUCCAGUGCGCAGAAGGUGAAGGAUGGCAUAUAAACAAUUGCUUGUUUACUUUUCCCACACUUGGGAACUGGAGUAAAUUCAGCUCAGAGAUUCCACAGAAACACUUCCGAAUGGGGAAAUAGGAGCUGGGAAACAAAGCUGUGGAUUUGCUUAGAAGCAACCCGUUUCUUCCUCAAAAUAAGUCGAUGCCUUAAUCAAGUAGUCAGGUGCUUAAGGAAUCACAGGGAAUGGAAGAGACAGCUUUCCAGGCUUGUUGAGAAGAGGGGGAGCUGAUUGCCCACAGGAUGCUGCUCAGUUGUGGCAGAAGACAAAGGGAAUGGGCUGGUGGCAGAAAAGAAACCCCUGCUGGAGCCAAGAGAUCUCUGCUGUGCCUUGUUCUAUGGAAGGGUCACUAGGCCGCUGUCUCUGUUGCUGCUAAAGCACCUUUACAGACAGGCAUAGGUCUUUCUGCUAUUUGCUGUUGUUCUCUUUUGAAAUGGAGCAGUUUUUCAGAAGAAAGCACUCCCACUGAUCUUGUUCAUAAAUAUAGAGGCGGUGUUGUGAGUACGUAGUGUUACUCCGUCAGGCUUCAGGGCAGUGUAGGCUCAGAGCUUGCCAACAUAAUCUUUGGCCUUCUCUGCUAUCUGGGUUUGGAGCUUCAGGAUCUCUCAGGCUAUGGCGUGGGGAAGACCCCAGUUGUAGAUCCCCUGCAGUCACUCCAUCAGCCUGCACUAUCAGGCGCAGCAUCUCAGCAAUACCAUGUUUGUACAGCGCACACGCCCUGCAUGCACCUACAAGCCUGCUUUAUCACUGCUAAGUCUCUGCUGUGAAAGUAGAUUUCUGCUGGUGGAACUGCCCUGCCAGGCAGGGAGGUGUGCUGACUGCUCUGUCCUGUCCUGUGCCGUUGUGCUGGGAGAGACAGACCGGGAAUCGGGCUCACAGAGCAUACAGGUCCCAAGUUCUUUUGUACCUCAUUUUGCUUUCACACUAUCACUGUUACCUGUGUGCAUUAUUACGCUGCCCAAUCCAGUAUUGAUCUUCAUAUUGUGUUUUAACAGAUUGGAGUUAGGAGCUUCUUCUGUCUCCUUUGCCUGUGUCCCGUGACUGUGGCAUAUGCUGCUUUUUAACCUUACCUUUGUUUCUCUGAGUCCCUUCUCAAAUAGGAUUUACAACAGCUGUGAUUUUUCCUUACAUUUUCUUUUCUUCACCUUUUUCCCAAGUGGAUGGAAAUCUUAGCUUCUUCCUAAGCAAGGUGAAAGUAUCCCGCAUGAAGAAGUUUUGUGUGGCUCCAGCCACAGAGAUGCUGAGUACUUGUUUCUCUCUAUUUGACUAGAAAACUACCUGGCGAUGGCUGUUUGUUUAUAUGGUGUGCUUGGGUGUGAGGGGCAAAGCAGGCAGAUUUACAUUUACAUUUCUGUACUGCUUUUUUCUUGAGCUCCCACACAUGAGCAAUUGCCCUGCAGGGUAGGGUGGGGGUGAGAUAUGUGUGUUGCUCUUUAUUUCGCUAUAAACUUCGCUCUGAUUACUAGGACUUCUCCAGGGAAGACGAGCCCUGCCUUACCAUUGCUGGGGGUAUAAAUCACUCCUAAUUAAUACCACAGUUAAGCUGCCUGGAGAGGAAGGCAAAACUCAUACGCUUUGGCUGUGUCAUUCCAGUAAACCUGUAUGAGAGGGAGGCCAGACUGACAGCCUGCAGGCUCUGUGCCCUGGGGCAGAGACACAGGUUGGUAUCAGGAUGAAGUUGCUCAAGCUUUGGUGAAGUUGCUCAAGUUUUGACCCAGAUCCCAGCUGUCCAGGACAAUUCCUGACCUGUGGAGCUCUUGAAGGAGGAGCACAAGGCAGACAUGAGGAGGUAGGUGCAGCACCUCUCCAUUUUGUAUGUGAGGUUUUUGAGCAACACACUUGCCAAAGGUUUUGUGGGGAAUCUGCAGAGCCAGGAAUUUAUUAACCCCAUGCCCAUCUCUCAGGCUGGUGCCAGAAGCAGACAGGUAGUUUGCUAAAUGCUUCAGCCCAACUCCUGGAAAGUAUGCCUGCAUUCCCACUGAAACCAGCAAGUUCCCCAGUUUAGAAUGCAUUUAUUUUUAAACUGUACAGGCAGAGCCUACAUGUUUUGACAAAGUAGCGCCAGAGCAUUGAGUGCCUUGGAGAUUCUUAGCCCUUACUGACUGCUCGCUGAAAGCACUGCCUCAGCCUCCUGUGGACUCCCAGACAGUGCCUGAGAGAGUGCGUGGUGCCUUUCUCAGCCUGGCCUUGCCCUUUUUAGCUUAAAUCAAUAGCAAAGAUGAAGAUAGAGUGCAAAGGGAAAGAAUUCAGAAUGAACAGUGCUCACUAAAUAGACAACCCACAUGUGAAAUGUAGGAUUUUAAAUGCAAAUGCCUUCAUCUUGUCUUAUCAGAGCUAAUUGGUUUAGCCCCUGUGCUACACAGGUUGAGUUUAAAUGCUGUACGGAUAACUCUGAGCUGACACCAGUAUUUACAUGCGACAACUGAUGAUGCAGUGUUGUAGUUGGCUUCCAGGAAAGAUCUUACCCCGGGCAGAACAGAGUCAAUCUCCACCAAGGUUGUACUUUCUCAUCAUUAUUUCUCUCCCGUGUGAAGUGUAGGCAGUGGGCACCGAGCUUGGCACCACAGCACAGUGGAGCAGGAAGUAAUGGGGAUUUCCCUGAUAGCCCCAAGGUCACAGUAGUGAGCAUGCAGCAACUUGGGAAAAAGCAGCACAUAGGAGAAUGUCAGAAGGUCCUGUCACCCUGGCUGUCCUGCAGCCUUGUUUGUAAGGUAAGGGAUGAGAACAUCUUGGUAACAUGCUUCAGCCCCCCUUCUUACAGUGAAGUUGAGGGGUUUUUCUGGGAGGUCUAACAGGUUGAAAGCAUUCCAGUUGCCACUGGUUGACUUAGCUCAGUGGAAGAAUAUGUGCCUGCCCAAAGGAGCUUUCUCCUUACCCUAAAUCAUGCAUUUCUUCCCUCUUCUGUCACAUCAGCAGACUUGCUCUUUCAACCUCCAGAGAACUGUUUUGUUUUUGCUUUCAAUAGGGUUAGUUUUCAGGCAAGUAAGUAGGCUGGUUUGACCCUGUAAAACUCCAUUCCCAAACUGUGGGAGUGAUGGAGACAACAAAAGCAAAGGGACAGGAGUUGUAGGGCAGACCCACCUCUUUUGGCAGUAACUCGGUUUUAGCUUUGAGUUUUAGUAAUUGUGAAAGUGCACGAAAAGCAGUCUUUUCUGUUUGGGAUGAAUGAAAGCCUUCCAGGUGUAAGCAUGGGGAAUUAAUUACAGCAUUCGCCCAGCCCAGUUCUUCUCCUGGAGUCUGACACGUGGCUGCCUCAUGUGAUGUCUCUUGGCACCGCAGAGACAUAGCAUCACCCACAGCUCUGGCAGCAGCUGCUGCUUUGAGCCUAUCAGCCUCCUCCACUGGCUGGAGUAGCAGUGAGUUUCUGCAGGUGCACGGCAUGCAUCGCCAUAGUCCCAGUGAAGCCACCGAGUGCGUGGAAGUCUAUGAAUGAGAGCAGCUAUCCAAUCAAGAAGGUAUUUUCUACACUGCAGGUUAAAUGGCCAUCCUUCCCUCAAGAGAUGUGUGCAUAAAAGACGUGGCUGGUUUUUACAGACAGUACUAUGAAGACGUCGGUCGUUUUGAGUUGCCCUUUGCACUGCAUCACUGUUCUGUGCUUUGGAAGUGGUUGCAGGGCUGGCUCAAGUUCUGUCGGCUGUGCCUGGGGUUAAAGCAGAUGCUUUGGCCCUCUGAACCCAGCCUGGCAAGAUGAGGGCAGGGAGGCAGGAUUUCCCCUCCGUUGUUUCUUUGAGUUCCAGAGCUUCCAACGAGGCUGGGAGAGGGGAAGGGUGACCAAGGAUAUCUGAGCAUCUUCUCUGUAAGCAAGGCCAAUUAUACACACGGCAAUUACCUCAGUGUAAACAGCCCAUCGUACCGAGAUGGGGAGAGCCUUUUGAGCCUGGGGAGGGUGCUUUGAAGUGCUUCUGCUCAGAGAGUGUCCAUUAAUGCGGGGAAUUGCACCGGCCGCAGCCCUCGGCUGCGUUAAGAGGAGUUGGGCGGCGGUGCCUAUUGAGCUGGGCGGGAUGGCUGUUAGGUGCCCUCGGUAUGACAAAGCGGUCGUUAACAUUCCAGCAGCGAUGGGGCAGUAGCCAGUAGCAACGCUUGCCUGCCUCGGCCAGCCCUGCUUGCUGCCGCUAGCGGUGCCAUAAGGGCACUUCUCUCCUGUACGUGCUAGAAUUCCACUUUCCUACCGGUAUCUGCACGAUUUCUCGCCAGUACUGUGGAAGAAUCCUAGCAAGUCACACCGAAGUUGAUAUAAAUUAUCUAUCUCUCAGCAGGGAGGAGGAUUAUGUCAAUUUCGGCUAAUAGCUGCCAAAUAAUAGACACACAGAUGCUCUUAAAUUGGUUUAAUUCCCGUUGGCUGGCCCUGACAAUUGGGAGCAAAGAUAAAUAUAUACAAAGCAUUCAAAGCUCGGGGUGUUAUGAUGCUAAUUGAAAAGUCACCAAAGGAAGCCCUCACGGUCUGUGGGAACCUCGGUGCACGGGAUUAGCGGCUAAUUAGCGGCUAGGAGCUGUCUCAUCCCGAGCACAGGCACCUCUGCCCAUGCAGUCAGUCCUUGCCCUUGAUACCAGCAAUAAAGAAACUGCUGUGGGCAGCAGGCAGUGUGAUGGUAGGAAGAUAACGUAGUAUUAGCAGUGUAACGAGUUCUCCCAUCAUGCACAGAAGCAAUGUCAGAAAUGCUUGCUGUGUCUUGGCCACAGCAAACAUAAAGGCAUUUGAGGCCUGAGCUCUUCCCCCCCCCCCCCCCCCUUUUUAACAAAUGCACAAGUCUUGUUAUGUGACUUUUUACCUCUUUCAUGUCAUGUUUGCAGCAGAGGACAGAACACAUUCUGGAGACCCCGAGCCUCAAACCCUGCUGUGGACUCUGCAGUGAGUGCACACAGGCAGUCGCAGCCCCUUCCUUGCACGGUGCUUUAGAAUCGUGACAUUUAAAAAACAUACAAUCCGUCUGUCAGCAUCCCAGUAUUUCCCUCUCAAGCUGUUCCCUGGUGGACAACUGAAGAAUCCGAGUUUUUCAAAUAACACACUUGUGUUAUGUGAACCCAAGGGCUCGGCCUGUGGAAAAAGAGAUUUGCAAAAUGGUACGAAUCAGUUGCAUCACUGGCACCGCUGAACUAAUCAGGGCUUUGUUUAAUGAGGGGUGCAUCUAUUUUGCUCAAUUACUUCCCGCUGGUGAGAAUCCUUCAUUUAUACUUUCAUUUGGGAAUGCUGGUUUUGGAACUCUCCGGAGUUACAUGUUUUCUUGUCCUCACAUUUGCUUUUUCAGAUCUGAAACAGCUGUAAACACAGCUUUAAACUGUUACACACCCUCACAAUUAAAUUAACCAGUAUUACACUUCACAAAGACACCAAGGAGCAAUAGCAGGGAGGUUCACUUGUGAGCUUUGGAGGAGCUAAAAAGCUUCUUUCCUGUGUUAACCAGCUCUGAGUAAUGCGGUUUUGCACAAGCUGGAGUCAGAAGUGGGUAAUGUGAGGAACCCAUGCUGGUAGGCAGUGACCUGCAGUGCGUGGGCUGGUGGCCUAAGUCAUCUCUUCUGGCAACCAGCAGAUGGGUGCUUGUAGCCUGGUUUCCUUAACCCUCCUGUUGACCAGCCCUCCAGACAGCUAACUCUCUUCUCCAGCUGCUGAGAAAUAGCUAAAUCAUAGAAUCAUUUAGGUUGGAAGAGACCACUGAGAUCAUCCAGUCCAACUGCCAACCCAUCCCCACCAUGCCCACUGACCAUGUCCUUCAGUGCCACAUCUCCACAGUUCUUCAACACUUUCAGGGACGGUGACUCCACCACCUCCCUGGGCAGCCUCUGCCAAUGCCUCACAACUCCUGAGAUGAAAUUUGUCUUUAGAUCCAAUUCCCCACCCCCCAGUACAACUUAAGGCCAUUACCUCUUGUUCUGUCACUAUUACAUGGGAGAAGAGGCCGACCCUCACAGUCAUCCACAGUGAGAGCUAACAAACAAAGAGGACCAUCCUUCAUAUAGCAGCUAUGUUGUAGAAGUGAUGAUCUGGGAAGAGGGUAGGGAAAAGUGAACAGACUUUUAGGCAUAGAAGUUCUUCUACAGAUCUGAAAGAAACCUCAGACUUCAAGCUAUUUUGCCCCCUCACAAAAUCCUGUAGAAAAAAGAGAUAACAGCCCCAUACAACCACCUCUGCUGUAGAUAAGCUGCCCAGCUGGCUGGGCAGCCCAAAGAACCCAGCUGCUCCAGGAGUCUUAAUAGCUUUUGUGGAGCAACAGAUUCCUGAAAUGAUGCUCACCGUUCAGUAUGUUUGUCAGAACUGGAAUGAGAUACACAGGAAUAAUAUUUUUCGGCCAAGGUAUUUCUAACUGGUUCUCGGUGGGUAUUAGUAAUAAUACAGCUGUCAGCUUUCGCAGUGUUUUUUAAGCAGAAGUGCUUUGUAUCUUUCAAGGUGUCUUCCCUUUUAUCUUAAGCAAAAUACCUGUGGGAACCAUUAGUAAUGGUUUCUGGUACUGCUGGACAAUAGUAGUGUGAAGAUACAGAGUGCAGCAACCCAUGCAGCAUAGGAACCCAGUGACAGGCUGGAAGGCACUCUGUGCCAGAGCGUGGCAAGGAGCGAGCAGCAGAUCAGACAGCUGCUUAAUCCCUCUGUGAGUUGAAAAGAGGGAGGAGACGCAAAUCAAGAAGAAGGAGAGGACCAUAGAGAAGAAACUGCAGAAGAAUUCCUGAUUUCUAUAGGAAUCUCUGCAUGACACACUGGGUCUGUGGGAGCCCAGAGCUCAGCUCAGCCCCUCAAAACCUGGUACCACAGCUGUAACUCUCAGGAUCUCUUCUGAGCAAAUCUCGUGCCAUUUAGGGAAGGUGCUGGGCUGAGCUGAAGCUGUGCAAGUACAGCUGUUCUCAUAUCAGCUAAGAAAAAGUAAAAAUCAGUUUAAAGCAUUAGACUGUUCCAAAAAAGCAGUGCUAAACCUCAUUCUAGAGCUACUGUUAAGUUGAAAUAUAUAUAUUUAAGUGCUCCUUCAAAUAAAGCCUAAAAACCCAUUUGCUUUUCCAGUGGUCUAAUGACUGCUUUUGCCAGGUUACUUCCAACAUAGAAUUCACCUACAGUCUAAGGCAAUGCCUGGGAGAUCCAAGCAUUCUGGUAUGACUGGGAUAAAGCUGAGGUGAGAGGCAGGUCAGAAUCGGGUGUACCAUGGAGGUAUCUGCAGCCUUUGUGGGGAAAGAUUACCAUCUUGGUGGGGAGAUCGUGUUUCUGUUAUUACCAGUAACAACUGGUUUCUACCAUUUACUCUCCCCUCUUUGUUGUCGGGUAGGCCCUGACAACUGAGGGACUCAAUGCAGCACGCAGGUGAGGCUGACGCUGGGCUCAGAAGUGCCGUCAGAUGGUGUCACGCAUGUGGGGAUGUGUGGUACCACGGCCCCGGUCGCAGAGAGCCUGCAGUCCGAGCCAGGAGCCUGCAAGAGGGCAGCACGGAAAAGCAGUGACACCUGUGCUGUUUUUAAUGGGAUUUGUAGCUGUGGGGUUUCGACAGAACCCACUUUUUCUUUCAGUGCAUUCUGACGUGGAAGAAUGUGAAAUGUAUUACCACAAGAGCAGGCUGCCUUGUGAGUGCUUCUGCGGAGCAAUGUCUUUUCUGCAGAGCUAGCCAUGGGGACUGAGCUUUAGCUGGGAGCAGCUUGGUCGGCGCCAUUUUCCCUCUGUGGCCUGUGCAGGAAGCUAACACCAGCCAACUUCGCACACUGUGGGACCGUAACAGGCCGCUGCCUGCGCCCGGGAGCGCAGACCCUCCUGCUGCACUCGGCAGAGCAAGUCUGAACUGGGUGCAUGGAGCAGGAAAUGCCAGUUCACAGCCCUCCCACGUGGCUCCAGGCUGCGUGCACAAUGACUUUUCCAGCCCCCCAGACUCUGUACACAUGAAUCCCUUCACCGUCCAGACGCCGUUUUGGGAUUGGCACAGCAUUCUGUGAUCUUGGAAGGCCGCUCAUGUGGUGUGGGAGCCAUCGCACACGCCUCUUGCAUUGGGUGCCUGCUGUGCUCCGCUGCAGGUGUUUCAUACUUGACAAGCAAGUCAUUGUGAGACUGGAGAAGCCACAUCCUUCUUCCUGGUCUCUGUAGUUCCACCUGCAGAGUUAGAGUAGUGUGUUCCAUCUUCCUAACCAAAGGAGACACAGAUGGACUUGAUCCUUGGUGUACUGGUUGAUCUCAUUUGAGGAAGAAGAAAUCCAGGUAUAAUUAGAGACCAUUUACCUUGAUCUUAAAGGACUCAGCAUCACUUUGAGCCAUUAAACAUCAUUUGUAC